Molecule: ribosomal RNA, 253 nt
Filed under: uncultured bacterium
Lineage: Bacteria
Description: partial 16S ribosomal RNA
Rfam family: Bacterial small subunit ribosomal RNA
Source: RNAcentral
UACGAAGGGGGCGAGCGUUGUUCGGAAUUACUGGGCGUAAAGGGCGCGCAGGCGGCCUAUCCAGUCAGGUGUGAAAGCCCCGAGCUCAACUUGGGAACUGCACUUGAUACUGAUAGGCUAGAAAACGGAAGAGGGCAGUGGAAUUCCCAGUGUAGAGGUGAAAUUCGUAGAUAUUGGGAAGAACACCAGUGGCGAAAGCGGCUGCCUGGUCCGAUUUUGACGCUGAGGCGCGAAAGCGUGGGUAGCAAACAGG